CAUGGCUCAGGACGAACGCUGGCGGCGUGCUUAACACAUGCAAGUCGAGCGAGGUCCAUCCAGUGGCAACACUGGGGAAGACCUAGCGGCGAACGGGUGAGUAACACGUGAGCAACCUGCCCCGAAGACUGGGAUAACACCGGGAAACCGGUGCUAAUACCGGAUGUCCUCCUCUGGUCGCAUGGCCUAGGGAGGAAACGAAUUUUGCUCCUGGAGGGGCUCGCGGGCUAUCAGCUUGUUGGUGGGGUAACGGCUCACCAAGGCGACGACGGCUAGCUGGUCUGAGAGGACGACCAGCCACACUGGGACUGAGACACGGCCCAGACUCCUACGGGAGGCAGCAGUGGGGAAUCUUGCGCAAUG
Molecule: ribosomal RNA, 363 nt
Filed under: uncultured bacterium
Lineage: Bacteria
Description: bacterial SSU rRNA
Rfam family: Bacterial small subunit ribosomal RNA
Source: RNAcentral